UCAUCAAAGUUUUAGUUAUUUCAAAGACCUUCAAAAUGGUCACAAAUUUCAUGCCAUUUGGAUUUUUAAUGAUAGAGUUAUGCAUUUUUGAAGUUUGGAAAAAUCACUCAUUUAAUGGUAUAGGUCAAAAAUGACCUAUAAUGUAACCUCAUAUCACAUGCUCAUAAAAGUUGAAUUUUCUCUCACUCCAAACAUAAACGUUGAAGUGGACAUCUUGAAUUUGAUUAUGCAACUUGGAAAUCUUUCAUCUCAUAAAAAUUGAGCAAGUUAUGGCCUUGGGAAGUUGACUUUCAAAUUAUGGUUUAGACAAAAUGACCUAUAAUGUUUCAACAUAGAAAAUGAUUUUCCAAGAAAAAAUAGCUCUAGGUAUCAACAUGAAAGUUGUUUGGAAUGUCAUUUAGAGUAACGUUUCUCUUGGGAUCAUUUUCAUAUGGUGAAAAUUGUAGGAGAUAGGGUCUAGGGAGACCCAGUUUUGAUAAGAUGAAUUCAUCUGGCCAACCACCAUCAACCGACUUGCUAACCUUUAAUUCUCUUGACUUUCUAGGCUCAUGGUAGAUCAUAUAUGCAUAAGAUGAUGAAUUUUGAAGUGUCCCUUGAGAAAUUUGAUCAAUUGGUGAGAUAGCUUGUUGAAGAAGUUACUCAAGAUACCCAGUCAAACUAGGGUUUCCAGAUCAUAUAUGCAUAAGAUGAUGAAUUUUGAAGUGUCCCUUGAGAAAUUUGAUCAAUUGGUGAGAUAGCUUGUUGAAGAAGUUACUCAAGAUACCCAGUCAAACUAGGGUUUCCAAGGCAAAUCACCCUCAAACUCUUGAAGAAUACUUGAUCAAUAUAACAUGUAGAGGUCAUUGGGACUCAUAUAUGAUGCUAAUAAACAUUCUUGGAUCAAUUCAUGGUUGUGCUCUUUGUCAUGAGGGUCUCAAACCCUAGAUAUGAACUUGAUAGAUCAAUGAAGAUCAUGCCAUACCUACAAAAGAGUUAGGCAAAUGCAAAGACAUAUUUUUGUAUUUUUGUUAGUAAAAUGAUGAUAUACAAGUAUGAUACAAUCACAUAGUGUUUGGUGAUCUCUCCCAAAACAAACUCAAUGAAAAAGGGGUAAGGAGGAUGCCAAUGUAUGAUCUCAAUGCUAAUGCUUAUGAUGAAAUUGAAUGAGAGAUCUUAGGGUCAAAAUUGGGGUCUUUCACUCACCAUACUCGACUAUCACGUCAAUUGAACCUUAAAGGACUCAAGUGUUCAAAUAAGUUUCAUGGACCUCCUACUUUGAUUGAUCAACUAAUUUUUUAGAAUAAUACAACACUUAUAUAUUAAAAAAAACUGUUAAAACUGUUUUUAAUUGAUCCGACAUGAGAAACACAUAAUCGUUAAAUCUAUAUUAAGCUUCAUAGUAGGUGUACUCUACAUGUACGCUAGUUAAUAAAGAAUUUUGGCUGAACUGAGUCACUAUAUUAGGCUAGUUUUAUUAAGAUUUUUACCGGCUUGAAACCCGUCUUAUUUCUAAUAGAUAUGUUUACUACUUCAAUCCCCAGCAUCCUAUCAUCAAGUUUAAUGUCGACAUUAUGCAAUGAUACGUGUCAAGUAGUGUAAAAAUGAUUCUAACUCAUCAUAGAUAUCAUCAAUUUUAAAUAAUUUUAAUUAAAUGGAAAGAAACACGUACUUCAAAAAUUGUAGUAAUGCGUGGCGCCGAUUACCGCUUGCAAGGAAUUGUGGGCCGGCACGUUAAUUAAGUCAAGAUAAAUGGUAAGGAUAAUAACAUACAAUAAAAUAACAAACAUAUUUUACAAUCUUGUUCAAAGCCAAAUAUUACUACUUUUUUAUUUUUAUAUUUAAAUGUCAGACUUGUUCACAAAGCAUCCUUCAACAUUCUCAAGUUUCGACAGAAACAAACAAUGGGAUGUUCC
This 1892-nucleotide long non-coding RNA is filed under the name Lathyrus oleraceus (garden pea). RNAcentral's name for it is "Pisum sativum (pea) long non-coding RNA (PSAT_LNC023083)". The record is from RNAcentral. Lineage: Eukaryota; Viridiplantae; Streptophyta; Magnoliopsida; Fabales; Fabaceae.